GAUGAACGCUGGCGGCGUGCCUAAUACAUGCAAGUCGAGCGAACGGACGAGAAGCUUGCUUCUCUGAUGUUAGCGGCGGACGGGUGAGUAACACGUGGAUAACCUCCCUAUAAGACUGGGAUAACUUCGGGAAACCGGAGCUAAUACCGGAUAAUAUUUUGAACCGCAUGGUUCAAAAGUGAAAGACGGUCUUGCUGUCACUUAUAGAUGGAUCCGCGCUGCAUUAGCUAGUUGGUAAUGUAACGGCUUACCAAGGCAACGAUGCAUAGCCGACCUGAGAGGGUGAUCGGCCACACUGGAACUGAGACACGGUCCAGACUCCUACGGGAGGCAGCAGUAGGGAAUCUUCCGCAAUGGGCGAAAGCCUGACGGAGCAACGCCGCGUGAGUGAUGAAGGUCUUCGGAUCGUAAAACUCUGUUAUUAGGGAAGAACAUAUGUGUAAGUAACUGUGCACAUCUUGACGGUACCUAAUCAGAAAGCCACGGCUAACUACGUG
This 497-nucleotide ribosomal RNA is filed under the name uncultured bacterium. RNAcentral describes it as "partial 16S ribosomal RNA". It matches the Rfam family "Bacterial small subunit ribosomal RNA", at positions 28 to 507 of the family's 1533-position model. The record is from RNAcentral.